UGGGGAAUUUUGGACAAUGGGCGAAAGCCUGAUCCAGCAAUGCCGCGUGUGUGAAGAAGGCCUUCGGGUUGUAAAGCACUUUUGUCCGGAAAGAAAUCCUUGGCUCUAAUACAGUCGGGGGAUGACGGUACCGGAAGAAUAAGCACCGGCUAACUACGUGCCAGCAGCCGCGGUAAUACGUAGGGUGCAAGCGUUAAUCGGAAUUACUGGGUGUAAAGCGUGCGCAGGCGGUUUGCUAAGACCGAUGUGAAAUCCCCGGGCUCAACCUGGGAACUGCAUUGGUGACUGGCAGGCUAGAGUAUGGCAGAGGGGGGUAGAAUUCCACGUGUAGCAGUGAAAUGCGUAGAGAUGUGGAGGAAUACCGAUGGCGAAGGCAGCCCCCUGGGCCAAUACUGACGCUCAUGCACGAAAGCGUGGGGAGCAAACAGGAUUAGAUACCCUGGUAGUCCACGCCCUAAACGAUGUCAACUAGUUGUUGGGGAUUCAUUUCCUUAGUAACGUAGCUAACGCGUGAAGUUGACCGCCUGGGGAGUACGGUCGCAAGAUUAAAACUCAAAUGAAUUGACGGGGUCAUAGCUGUUUCC
RNAcentral lists this ribosomal RNA (584 nucleotides) under uncultured bacterium. RNAcentral's name for it is "partial 16S ribosomal RNA". It matches the Rfam family "Bacterial small subunit ribosomal RNA", at positions 355 to 937 of the family's 1533-position model. The record is from RNAcentral.